Homo sapiens (human) is the source of this 1540-nucleotide long non-coding RNA. Ensembl annotates it as long intergenic non-protein coding RNA 1505. Lineage: Eukaryota; Metazoa; Chordata; Mammalia; Primates; Hominidae. The record is from Ensembl.
GCAGAUGGCACUGGCAGCUGCUCAAGCUGGUACUCCUCCUCAAUGCUUCUUGUUCCUCUGCUGGUGGACACUGCCGGUUGGGCCUCGUGCUGGCAGAGGCUGGAGAGCCCAGGAGGAGGGCAGCUGGGGAAUCUGACUUUUAUGGCUGAAAUGAAAACUCCCCUGGGUGGCCUGGAGGAAGUGUUCUGACCCUCUCUGAAUUACCCGCACUGAGAUGGCCGUGGCACUUCUGACUCCACAGAAAAGCUUGAAGGUCCAAUUUCCAUCUUCAGGAGGGAAACAUCUCCUGCUUCUGCCUUCAGACAGCCUUUCUCUGUGCUUCUUUGUGAGCCAUUUCUGAGAACCGCCUGCAUUCUGUUGCUAGUGGUGAAUUGAUUGAGAAGAUCCUUUGUUGAUAGUCCAGCUUCAAAAGCAUGCAGGCUGCUGUUUGUCUUCUUUCUUCCUUCCAACGGAGGAUAUGCUCCUACAGAGGAGUGGGGAAAAACAAAAAUGCCCUUUUUAUUUACUUAUAACUUCACUAAGCUUUUUGUAAAGGGGCCAUAGUAUCACUAUUUUGUGGGGAGUGGCAAAUCAAAGGCAUUGCAGCCUCUUUCAUCACUGCCGAUUGCUGAUGCCAACCAUGUGCCAAGUGCUUAAUACGUCACCUUAAAUCUUCUCAUCCACCCUCAGAGUAGCUGCAGCAUCAACCCAGUGCCCUGACUUUCAAGACGACUAUGAAAACACCCCAACUGCUGCUAAAUUACCAGCAACAAGGAUCUGAUGGCCGGUUUGACACAAAUUAGAACAACCUUGAUAGCUGUCAACUGGAGACUAUCUGAGAACAAAAGGACAUUAUUGCAAACCAGCACUGGAGUUUGCAGCAUCACAGAAAAUGAUGCUCUCUCCUGCCAAGUCCCAUUUUUUGGGAGGAGGAAAUGGAUUAGGUCCUGGAGGUUGUCAUAAAUGCAUCAAGUGACUUUCUCAGCAUCAUCUGAAACAUGCAGCCAUCCAGCCCAGAACACAACAAGAAUAGAGUUGAUGAGCCCUCUUCUCCUCAACAAACACCUGUGAAAAAUGGGCCAAUUCACAGCUGCAAUGGUUGGGAGAAUUUCCUGUCUGGGAGUCUGGAAACUGCCAAGAGUGGAAAGCUGCAGCCAGCCAGCGAGGCCUCUGUUGUCACUGGCCCAAACAACAACAAAAACAACCGCAACAACAACAACAACAACAAAACAUGCCACGUGUGCACUGGCAUAUACAAACACGCCCACAGAACCAAACCAAGCGGACAAGGCUUCAAGGAGAGCUUCUGGGCGGCUCAUUCCCGCGGCGAGGCAUAUCCCUUGGCAUGGUGCCACUGCAGCCCAGCUCCCAGCCCCCCCGCCAUCUGUCAUCAGCGCUCUGCCUACUGUGGCAUUUCCCUCUUUGCUCGGCACCUCUCCCUAUUGCCGCCAUAUGAAAAAGGAGGUGUUUGCUUCCCCUUCCACCAUGAUUGUAAGUUUCCUGAGGCCUCCCGAGCCAUGCUGAACUGUGAGUUAAUAAAACCUCUUUCCUUUAUAAAUUA